Molecule: RNA transcript, 1801 nt
Organism: Brassica napus (rape)
Lineage: Eukaryota; Viridiplantae; Streptophyta; Magnoliopsida; Brassicales; Brassicaceae
Gene name: ATPase GET3C-like
Exons: 7
Source: RefSeq, a predicted model, not a curated record
GUCAUCAGGAGACCCGAGAAAAUGCGCACCCGAGCUUGCCCUUCCUCAUAUCUUGGCUGAAAUCCAGUUUCUCUUCGAUCGGCGGAGGGACGAUCCAGUUUCUGUAACGUUGCGUUGUGAUUUAUUCGUCUUAAAUCGUCUUAAUUCGCAAUCCCACUACGAAACUUUCGUUUGCGUUGUCCGUCGCCGAGAUCGUGUAUAAAUAUGCUCCACUGCGAUAUCAAACUCCGACGAGUUAGGCACCAAACAAUCCGCCACAGCGCUGCUGACGAAGAUCUGCCGCUGACACACGUUGUUCCUCCAAUCUUCCAGCCCAAUCGCUUCUGUAAUUAGAUACGUCAAUGGCAGUGGCGGCUGCGUCGCGGUUUCUGAUGUUUGGUGCGGUAAAGGAUUAGGGUUCUCGACGGAUGCGGUGUCGAUGGAUCCUCCGAGGAGGAAUCUUCCGCCGUCGCGUCGCAAAAUCGACGUGGACAAGAACAGUUCGAACCAAACAGAGGUAAAGGUGGUAGCUUUAUGUUCUGUGUAUCUAAUUGCAAGUCAAAGUUUGAGUCUUUUUUUGGUGGUGUUUUUAGUUUAGAAUGCCGUUUCUGAUUACCGGGCAAGCUAUUGACUGGUACAGUGAAUGAAAGGAUGAAAUCGGAUCUCUUUUCUUUUCUACUUUUGUUGGUUUGGGAAAACUUUGUAAAUGUCAUAGAGAUGCGUUGUCCAUUUUUGUUUUUGUAGUUAGGGAGCUUGAAUAUUGAAGAUAUGCUCAAUGCUGCAUCACCUGGUAUACGACGAAAUAUCAGUUAUAUCCAAGGUUCUUCAAUAUAUGGAGUCACCAGAAUACAAUAGGUUUACACAUAUAGUCCUCGAUACUACUCCCACGGAACAUACUCUGCGGCUUCUUUCUCUGUCCGAUUUCUAUGAUUCUUCAAUUGGCAAAAUAAAGCUCAAGAAGAAGAUCACUGCGGCAGCUUCAGCCUUUAUGUCUGUCUUUGGUAAAAAGGAGAUACAACAACAAAGACCUUCCAACGAGUUGGACCAACUGAAAGAGAGAAUGGAGAAAGUUCUAAAUGUUUUCAGUGAAGUGGACACUACUGAGUUUGUCAUUGUAACCAUUGCACCAUUCUCUUACCUGUUCAUAAGAUCAUUAGUUUACAUGUGGUUACUGAGACGCUUAGCUUUAUUCUUCUACCCCAUUAAGGAUAAAUUUGAAUAGAAGUCGGUCUCUCCUUCUGGCAUAUUCACUUGGUUAUUACCUUUCCUUUUAGGUCAUGGUAAUAAACUGAGUCUUCGGGGUUACAUGCAUCUUUAAGAAAAGAAAAUGUGCCAGUUCACAAGUUUAUUGUUAAACAGCUUCUCCCUCAUUUUGAAUUCGAUUGUAAAUUUUGCUCAGUGGGACGAAAGGAACAAACGCGUGUGCUCAGACUUAUUCAGGACGAUACGAAGCAUUUGACUAGGGACAUUUUGAACUCAUGUUGCUACAAAAAGCAGCUUCACGGUUGGUAUGAGCUAUACAGUGACAACUAAAUCUGUCUGAGUGUCAAAUGCGUAGCAAAUCCGUUCAAGCUGCAACUUGGAUUCUUCUUUUACUUUUUCUUAUAAUAGGUAGUUGGCAGAGCACAGUAUGUAGAACUGGUAGAUGGACCACGUUAGAGUUCAUUUCGUAUUCUAUGUAACGCGUUUUCAACUGGUGGAUUUGGCACAAUCGACAUUUUUCGUAUAGUAGUAAUUCAUCUAUUAUUGAUUUUAUGUAACAUAGACAACACAAUUUGGCUUGAUUAUUCAUUGAGAAAGUAAGGAAAUAAGUUUGUCUCUC